This is a non-coding RNA of Punica granatum (pomegranate), 95 nucleotides long. Lineage: Eukaryota; Viridiplantae; Streptophyta; Magnoliopsida; Myrtales; Lythraceae. The record is from Rfam.
AGGCAGUGAUGAGGAAUUUGAGAAUGUCAUGCACCACUCUGAUUGAAAAUCUUCGUGCUGAUAAAUUUCUCACACCCAUUUUUCCUUCUGAGCCU